GAUGAACGCUGGCGGCGUGCCUAAUACAUGCAAGUCGAGCGAACAGACGAGGAGCUUGCUCCUCUGACGUUAGCGGCGGACGGGUGAGUAACACGUGGAUAACCUACCUAUAAGACUGGGAUAACUUCGGGAAACCGGGGCUAAUAUCGGAUAAUAUAUUGAACCGCAUGGUUCAAUAGUGAAAGACGGUUUUGCUGUCACUUAUAGAUGGAUCCGCGCCGCAUUAGCUAGUUGGUAAGGUAACGGCUUACCAAGGCAACGAUGCGUAGCCGACCUGAGAGGGUGAUCGGCCACACUGGAACUGAGACACGGUCCAGACUCCUACGGGAGGCAGCAGUAGGGAAUCUUCCGCAAUGGGCGAAAGCCUGACGGAGCAACGCCGCGUGAGUGAUGAAGGUCUUCGGAUCGUAAAACUCUGUUAUUAGGGAAGAACAAAUGUGUAAGUAACUAUGCACGUCUUGACGGUACCUAAUCAGAAAGCCACGGCUAACUACGUG
RNAcentral lists this ribosomal RNA (497 nucleotides) under uncultured bacterium. RNAcentral's name for it is "partial 16S ribosomal RNA". It matches the Rfam family "Bacterial small subunit ribosomal RNA", at positions 28 to 507 of the family's 1533-position model. The record is from RNAcentral.